GACGAGGGGUCCUAGCGUUGUUCGGAAUCACUGGGCGUAAAGCGUAUGUAGGCGGCUUUUCAAGUCAGGUGUGAAAUCCCAUGGCUUAACCAUGGAAUUGCAUUUGAAACUGUAAAGCUUGAGUAUUGGAGAGGAUGGUAGAAUUCCUGGUGUAGUGGUGAAAUACGUAGAUAUCGGGAGGAACACCAGUGGCGAAGGCGGCUUCCUGGCCUGUUCUUGACGCUGAGGCGCGAAAGCUAGGGGAGCAAACGGG
This 253-nucleotide ribosomal RNA is filed under the name uncultured bacterium. Its description in RNAcentral is "partial 16S ribosomal RNA". It matches the Rfam family "Bacterial small subunit ribosomal RNA", at positions 524 to 776 of the family's 1533-position model. The record is from RNAcentral.